This is a long non-coding RNA of Anguilla rostrata (American eel), 3747 nucleotides long. RefSeq lists it as uncharacterized. The transcript has 2 exons. NCBI's taxonomy places the organism in Eukaryota, Metazoa, Chordata, Actinopteri, Anguilliformes, Anguillidae. The record is from RefSeq and is a predicted model, not a curated record.
GGCUGCAAAGUGGAAUCCUUUUGCUUGAAUGUUGAAGCAGUGAACACACACAGAGAGAAGCCUGUGAAUGUGUCUGUGACCAGAGACACAGAAGACGCCUUACUGACCGUCCCAGACCACUUUUGAAUGGAGCGGGCGGAAGAGAUGCAGCACCUGCAGUGUCCACAGUGCCCUGCGGUUUCAGAUUUAUGUCGGAGUUGCUUUAUGCCAUCUUUUGUAAAUGUAUGACAGCGGCAAUGUAUGUUGUUUUACCUUAAAGUAGCUGUGUGUGUGUGUGUGCGAGCGUGUGCGUAUGCGUGUGUGCGCAUGUGUGCCUGGAGAAGGUGCUGGAGGUGUGUUUCAGGGAACUCUUUCAUAUUUGGAAAGCCAGGAAAUGUACUGUUCAUGCUGGUUACAUCGACUCCGAAAGGAACUUCCCGCAUGCUGGCUGAUGCCGUGGCAGUCAGUGAAGCUGCAAGCACAAUAAGAAGCCUUAUGAAGCCUUGUGAACUGUACAGGACAGCUCAAGGAAUCACUGCUUUCUGUGUCCGGUGAAGUGGAAGACAGAAUUCCCAGGAUUCAUCCCAGCAGACACUUCCCCACCCUCUGCCCUGGAACCUCUUCUAGCUCUACCAAAAGCCUCAGAACACAUUCUGACUGUAUCUCUGGCCUGGAAACCCUCCUGGCUCUACCCAAAGCCUCAGAACACAUUCUGACUGUACCUCUGGCCUGGAAUCCCUUCUGGCUCUACCCAAAGCCUCAGAACACAUUCUGACUGUAUCUCUGGCAUGGAAACCCUUCUGGCUCUACCCAAAGCCUCAGAACACAUUCUGACUGUACCUCUGGCCUGGAACCUGUUCGAACUCUAUUCGAGACCUCAGAACACAUUCUGACAGUACCUCUGGCCCAAAACCCAUUCUAGCUCUACCCGAAGCUUCAGAACACAUUCUGACUGUACUUCUGACACCAGUUUUAGUAAUUUAUUAAACGAACGUACAAAAAUACAGAACAUACACAAGCUAAUAUAACUGGGGAAGCUACAGGAAGUAUGAGAGUUUGUAUGAGUGUAGGAGUGUGAGUGUUAGUGUACACUUGUGUGCCUGUACAUGCAUGUGCGUGUACUUGUGUUAUUUUAACAAAGGAGAAAACAAAUUUAGCUUGUUGCUUGCGUUUGUGUAGUGGUAUCCAUGUCUGAAGAACCUAAUUUGGCUGCAAGUGAGAGCGAAGCAUAGCUUCAACUUAUAAGCGCAACAAUAACUAAUAGCUGGUUAUUCACUGACUACUGGUAGUAUUAAGAUUGUUAGAUCGUUAGAGUUCGAGUUGGAGAGUUAGCUGGAAGGAAAGACAGACCACGUGUGGUUACACUAUGUGUAGACAGUGAGCCGAUUCAAGUAAUUGCACAGCUAACAAUUCAUUCAGGUGAUCAGACAAAUAGGAACAAAAAAAAUCACAUUAAUCUUAGUUAAGACUAAGCUAAACUGCAGCUACUGCCUGGGAUGUUUAGUGAGUCUUAUGGAGAUUCUUCCACGUGUUGUACCUGGUCCCUGUGGGCUUUUGGGAGAACACAACUGUGGAGUUGGGAACUGUGGAGGUUUCCAAUGGUGGAGGUUUUGUCUUGUUCGGUCGUCUGAAGAUGUCCUUUUUCUGCUUGGAAAAAGUUUGUUUUGCUGCUUAGAAAAAGUUGGUUUUGCUUCAGUUUCUUGUGGUGAGCAAUCGCAGCACUGGGAGUACGCUAGGUUCCACGUGGGUUGAAGUAGACUAAGUCAGUGUAAGGCGAGCUAAGUCAGCAGCACCUAUUUGCCGUGGACAGUGACUUUAAUGUUUGUUCAGAUAAGUCUCCAGGGUAAUAACAGCAAUCCUGGGCUUUCUGUAAACCUUGGAAUUUAGGAGAGCUCCACCAAGUUGUGGGAGCUUUGGAGAUGGGCUUAUAGAAGCUCCACAGAGUUGUGGGAGGACCAACGACAAUGUCCAAGCGCCUGGAAUGAGAGGACGACAAAAGGACAAAAGGCCAAGAGAAAAGGUAAUGGGUUGUACCCAGUUUUAUAAGUUGUUGUGUGUUUCCAGGGUGAGAGAAUUGGCUCACUAUAACUAGAUGUCACACUGAGGGUGGUGUUGUAGAUGUCACUUGUGUUUCCUGUGGAAAGUAUAGAAAGUAGCUCCAUUGUCCCUACACUGCAGAAGCUAUUCUAGCUGUAACUGAGACUGCAGAGCAAAUUCUGACACUACCCCUGACCGCAGAACCCAUUUUGACCGUACCCAAGAUCACAGAACUGGUUCCGACUGUACCAAAGUCUGGAGAAUCCGUUCCGACUGUACUAAAGACCACAGAAGCCAUUCUGACUGUAUCAAAGACUGCAAAACUCAAUCUGAAAGUACCCCUGACCACUGAACCUGUUCUGACUGUACCCCUUGCCACAGCACCCAUUCUGACUGCACUCCUAAGCACAGAACCCAUUCCGACUGUAUCCCUGACAACAGAAUCCAUUCUGGCUGUACUUAAGAUGACAAGACCCGUUCUGACUGAACUCCUGACCACAGAACAUAUUCUGACUGUACCAAAGACUGCAGAACCUGUUCUAAGUGUGCCCCUGACCACAAAACCUGUUCUGACUGUGCCCAAGACCACAGGACCCCUCCUGACUGAACCUGAGACUACAGAACCUGUUCUGACUGUACUCCUUACCGUUGAACCAGUUCUGACUGUGCCCAAGACCACAGGACCCGUUCUGAUUGUACCUAUGACCAUAGAACCUGUUAUGACUGUACCCGUCACCACAGAACCCAUUCUAACUGUACCAAAGUCUCUAGAACCCGUUCUGACUGUGCCCUGAUUGCAGAACCUGUUCUUAUGACUGUACACGAGAACCAGACUGUAUGGCCAGUGCAUUUAAUGUAGAUCUCUGAGGUGUGUUCUGUGCUCCUAGUGUAGAAACGUGGUGUGUGUGUGUGUGUGUGGUCCAAAGGUGUAAUUUACGGGAGGGAUAUUACAAAACAGGCCAAAUAACACCCCCAAUAAUAUAGCCUAAUGAUGAGAAAAAUAAUAUAAUAUAUAUAACAAUAAUAAUUUCAUAAAGAUUUUCAUGGGGUUUUCAUGAUUUUAUUGGGAUAUAGGUGUACUAAUCAAUAAGACUGGGUGCUUGUCACGGAAGUUGCAGGUGCCACGGAUUCUGUGACUUCCUCCAUUUUCUUGUUUUUAGUGCUAACCGUGUUUUUCAGCAGUUUUGGAUGGCAACAGUCAACCUUAACGUAACCUAUGGUGUUUAUUAGUAUAGGCCUACGGAUUUUAUCAAUAGCCUAUUGCCAAAUGCAGGGAGAAACAAAGUACGACAAUGUAUGCAGAAUGUGCUGGGAUCAAGAUUCUGGUGUGUGUGUGUGUGUGGUCUGUGCUCCUAGUGUAGAGACAUGGUGUGUGUGUGGUCUGUGCUCCUAGUGUACAGACAUGGUGUGUGUGUGUGGUCUGUGUUCCUAGUGUAGAAACAUGGUGUGUGUGUGUGUGGUCUGUGCUCCUAGUGUAGAGACAUGGUGUGUGUGUGUGGUCUGUGCUCCUAGUGAAGAGACAUGGUGUGUGUGUGUGUGGUCUGUGCUUAUAGUGUAGACAUGGUGUGUGUGUGUGGUCUGUGCUCCUAGUGUAGAGACAUAGUGUGUGUGGUCUUGUUGUACUCUGAGCAUUGUGUGUACUCUGAUUGUGCAACAAAGUUCUGAUGAUAACUUCUACUGGUGUAUUAAAUGCACUUCCAUUUAAGAAAAUAAAAGUCUACAAAUCCUGUA